CCCUUAGAUGUUCUGGGCCGCACGCGCGCUACACUGACGAAGUCAGCGAGCAUCUCCUUCGCCGAAAGGUGCGGGGAAUCUUGUGAAACUUUGUCGUGCUGGGGAUUGAUUUUUGAAAUUCUUGAUCAUCAACGAGGAAUUCCUAGUAAGCGCAAGUCAGCAGCUUGCGUUGAUUACGUCCCUGCCCUUUGUACACACCGCCCGUCGCUCCUACCGAUUGGGUGAGCCGAUGAAACUCUCGGAUGUAGGCUAUUCAUAGCCCGCAGAAGAGAUUUGAAUCGUAGCGCUUAGAGGAAGGAGAAGUCGUAACA
This 311-nucleotide ribosomal RNA is filed under the name uncultured eukaryote. RNAcentral describes it as "partial 18S ribosomal RNA". It matches the Rfam family "Eukaryotic small subunit ribosomal RNA", at positions 1470 to 1796 of the family's 1831-position model. The record is from RNAcentral.